This 423-nucleotide ribosomal RNA is filed under the name Triticum aestivum (bread wheat). RNAcentral's name for it is "partial small subunit ribosomal RNA". Lineage: Eukaryota; Viridiplantae; Streptophyta; Magnoliopsida; Poales; Poaceae. The record is from RNAcentral.
AUGGGUGCCAUUAUUGCUAAAUGGUUAAGCUUAAACUGUAUAAAUGGCCCCAUCUUUGGAGGUAUCUAUACUACACGCCUUGCUAAACAUUUCGAGAUACCUAUUAGGCAUGAUGAGAAAGAGGAGACACUGCUGCCUUGUACCUUUUUAGAUUACAGGAGCAUGGUAGCGCACGAAUUUAUUAUUGACAAUGAUGAUAAGAUGCUCCUGUAUAACCUGAGAUUUAAUAAGAAACACAAUGAGAUUAUUACCCUUCCUGCGCCUUUGUUGUUUGAUCUAACUGCAGGCCAGUACCUCGUCUUGCCAAAAGCCGUGUACACGCAUCGAGGCCAGACAUCCGCUCCAGAGCCUGAGUCGGAACCUCCACUGGACCCUUAUCGUCCAUCCUGUUAUCAGUGGGAUCCGGAGGAGAUCUCUAGCUAG